AUUGAACGCUGGCGGCAGGCCUAACACAUGCAAGUCGAACGGUAACAGGAAGAAGCUUGCUUCUUUGCUGACGAGUGGCGGACGGGUGAGUAAUGUCUGGGAAACUGCCUGAUGGAGGGGGAUAACUACUGGAAACGGUAGCUAAUACCGCAUAACGUCGCAAGACCAAAGAGGGGGACCUUCGGGCCUCUUGCCAUCGGAUGUGCCCAGAUGGGAUUAGCUAGUAGGUGGGAUAACGGCUCACCUAGGCGACGAUCCCUAGCUGGUCUGAGAGGAUGACCAGCCACACUGGAACUGAGACACGGUCCAGACUCCUACGGGAGGCAGCAGUGGGGAAUAUUGCACAAUGGGCGCAAGCCUGAUGCAGCCAUGCCGCGUGUAUGAAGAAGGCCUUCGGGUUGUAAAGUACUUUCAGCGGGGAGGAAGGGAGUAAAGUUAAUACCUUUACUCAUUGACGUUACCCGCAGAAGAAGCACCGGCUAACUCCGUG
This 490-nucleotide ribosomal RNA is filed under the name uncultured bacterium. RNAcentral describes it as "partial 16S ribosomal RNA". It matches the Rfam family "Bacterial small subunit ribosomal RNA", at positions 30 to 507 of the family's 1533-position model. The record is from RNAcentral.